CAUAGGUUAAUGAGGCGAACCGGGGGAACUGAAACAUCUAAGUACCCCGAGGAAAAGAAAUCAACCGAGAUUCCCCCAGUAGCGGCGAGCGAACGGGGAGCAGCCCAGAGCCUGAAUCAGUGUGUGUGUUAGUGGAAGCGUCUGGAAAGGCGCGCGAUACAGGGUGACAGCCCCGUACACAAAAAUGCACAUACUGUGAGCUCGAUGAGUAGGGCGGGACACGUGGUAUCCUGUCUGAAUAUGGGGGGACCAUCCUCCAAGGCUAAAUACUCCUGACUGACCGAUAGUGAACCAGUACCGUGAGGGAAAGGCGAAAAGAACCCCGGCGAGGGGAGUGAAAAAGAACCUGAAACCGUGUACGUACAAGCAGUGGGAGCACGCUUAGGCGUGUGACUGCGUACCUUUUGUAUAAUGGGUCAGCGACUUAUAUUCUGUAGCAAGGUUAACCGAAUAGGGGAGCCGAAGGGAAACCGAGUCUUAACUGGGCGUUAAGUUGCAGGGUAUAGACCCGAAACCCGGUGAUCUAGCCAUGGGCAGGUUGAAGGUUGGGUAACACUAACUGGAGGACCGAACCGACUAAUGUUGAAAAAUUAGCGGAUGACUUGUGGCUGGGGGUGAAAGGCCAAUCAAACCGGGAGAUAGCUGGUUCUCCCCGAAAGCUAUUUAGGUAGCGCCUCGUGAAUUCAUCUCCGGGGGUAGAGCACUGUUUCGGCAAGGGGGUCAUCCCGACUUACCAACCCGAUGCAAACUGCGAAUACCGGAGAAUGUUAUCACGGGAGACACACGGCGGGUGCUAACGUCCGUCGUGAAGAGGGAAACAACCCAGACCGCCAGCUAAGGUCCCAAAGUCAUGGUUAAGUGGGAAACGAUGUGGGAAGGCCCAGACAGCCAGGAUGUUGGCUUAGAAGCAGCCAUCAUUUAAAGAAAGCGUAAUAGCUCACUGGUCGAGUCGGCCUGCGCGGAAGAUGUAACGGGGCUAAACCAUGCACCGAAGCUGCGGCAGCGACGCUGAUGCGUUGUUGGGUAGGGGAGCGUUCUGUAAGCCUGUGAAGGUGUGCUGUGAGGCAUGCUGGAGGUAUCAGAAGUGCGAAUGCUGACAUAAGUAACGAUAAAGCGGGUGAAAAGCCCGCUCGCCGGAAGACCAAGGGUUCCUGUCCAACGUUAAUCGGGGCAGGGUGAGUCGACCCCUAAGGCGAGGCCGAAAGGCGUAGUCGAUGGGAAACAGGUUAAUAUUCCUGUACUUGGUGUUACUGCGAAGGGGGGACGGAGAAGGCUAUGUUGGCCGGGCGACGGUUGUCCCGGUUUAAGCGUGUAGG
RNAcentral lists this ribosomal RNA (1316 nucleotides) under Escherichia coli. RNAcentral describes it as "partial 23S ribosomal RNA". It matches the Rfam family "Bacterial large subunit ribosomal RNA", at positions 165 to 1524 of the family's 2925-position model. The record is from RNAcentral. Lineage: Bacteria; Pseudomonadati; Pseudomonadota; Gammaproteobacteria; Enterobacterales; Enterobacteriaceae.